GCAUUGGUGGUUCAGUGUUAGAAUUCUCAUCUUCCAUUCGGGAGACCUGGGUUCAAUUUCCAACCAGCGUA
Molecule: transfer RNA, 71 nt
Filed under: Loxodonta africana (African savanna elephant)
Lineage: Eukaryota; Metazoa; Chordata; Mammalia; Proboscidea; Elephantidae
Rfam family: tRNA
About the family: Transfer RNA (tRNA) molecules are approximately 80 nucleotides in length. Their secondary structure includes four short double-helical elements and three loops (D, anti-codon, and T loops). Further hydrogen bonds mediate the characteristic L-shaped molecular structure. tRNAs have two regions of fundamental functional importance: the anti-codon, which is responsible for specific mRNA codon recognition, and the 3' end, to which the tRNAs corresponding amino acid is attached (by aminoacyl-tRNA synthetases). tRNAs cope with the degeneracy of the genetic code in two manners: having more than one tRNA (with a specific anti-codon) for a particular amino acid; and 'wobble' base-pairing, i.e. permitting non-standard base-pairing at the 3rd anti-codon position.
Source: Rfam by way of RNAcentral